CUUAAUCUGAGCAGGGUAAGCCGGCCCCUAAGGCGAGGCCGAAAGGCGUAGUCGAUGGGAACCACGUUAAUAUUCGUGGGCCAGGAGGAAGUGACGGAUCUCGAAGGUAGUUUGCCCUUAUCGGAUUGGGUGGGCUGCUCAGAGGUUCCAGGAAAUAGCCCUCCAUCAGACCGUACCCUAAACCGACACAGGUGGACUGGUAGAGUAUACCAAGGCGCUUGAGAGAACCACGUUAAAGGAACUCGGCAAAAUGCCUCCGUAAGUUCGCGAGAAGGAGGCCCCAUAUCUGGGCAACCAGGUGUGGGGGGCACAAACUAGGGGGUGGCGACUGUUUACUUAAAACACAGGGCUGUGCGAAGCCGUAAGGCGACGUAUACAGUCUGACGCCUGCCCGGUGCUGGAAGGUUAAAAGGAGGGGUGCAAGCUCUGAAUUGAAGCCCCAGUAAACGGCGGCCGUAACUAUAACGGUCCUAAGGUAGCGAAAUUCCUUGUCGGGUAAGUUCCGACCUGCACGAAUGGCGUAACGAUCUCCCCGCUGUCUCUAACGUGGACUCAGCGAAAUUGAACUGUGUGUCAAGAUGCACACUACCCGCGGUUAGACGGAAAGACCCCAUGCACCUUUACUCCAGCUUUGCACUGGUAUCAGGAUUGUGAUGUGCAGGAUAGGUGGUAGGCAUCGAAGCGGGGACGCCAGUUCUCGUGGAGCCUCCCUUGAGAUUCCACCCUUCGCCAUCUUGAUAUCUAACCGCGGCCCGUUGUCCGGGUCCGGGACCCUGCAUGGUGGGGAGUUUGACUGGGGCGGUCGCCUCCCAAACAGUAACGGAGGCGCGCGAAGGUAGGCUCAGACCGGUCGGAAAUCGGUCGCUGAGUGCAAUGGCAGAAGCCUGCCUGACUGCAAGUCUGACAAGACGAGCAGAGACGAAAGUCGGUCAUAGUGAUCCGGUGGUCCCAAGUGGGAGGGCCAUCGCUCAACGGAUAAGAGGUACGCUGGGGAUAACAGGCUGAUGAUGCCCAAGAGUCCAUAUCGACGGCAUCGUUUGGCACCUCGAUGUCGGCUCAUCUCAUCCUGGGGCUGGAGCAGGUCCCAAGGGUAUGGCUGUUCGCCAUUUAAAGAGGUGCGUGAGCUGGGUUUAGAACGUCGUGAGACAGUUCGGUCCCUAUCUGCCGUGGGUGUAGGAGACUUGAGAAGAGUUGCCCCUAGUACGAGAGGACCGGGGUGAACGAACCACUGGUGGACCAGUUGUCGUGCCAACGGCAGUGCUGGGUAGCUAUGUUCGGACAGGAUAACCGCUGAAGGCAUCUAAGCGGGAAGCCCCCUUCAAAACAAGGUCUCCCUUGAGAGCCGUGGAAGACCACCACGUCGAUAGGCCGGAGGUGUAAGUGCAGCAAUGCAUUCAGCUGACCGGUACUAGUUGC
Molecule: ribosomal RNA, 1416 nt
Filed under: metagenome
Description: bacterial LSU rRNA
Rfam family: Bacterial large subunit ribosomal RNA
Source: RNAcentral